Malus domestica (apple) is the source of this 1857-nucleotide non-coding RNA. NCBI's taxonomy places the organism in Eukaryota, Viridiplantae, Streptophyta, Magnoliopsida, Rosales, Rosaceae. The record is from RefSeq and is a predicted model, not a curated record.
UUCUGUCCAUAAAUGUUUGGGGUGAUGUGGGUAGUCUAGGGGGUGUGAGUAAGCAUUCUAAAUCAGGAGAGGCAAUGAUAGGCUUAGAGGGAGUAUUUCCAACUCUCACUGAAGAAUUAGAGGAGAGUGAGAGGUUUUGGAAAGGGAAAAGUAGGAAAUCGGAAGAGGGAAGCUGAGAGGGUGCUGGUGUGUUCUUCAAUUGGUACAAAAGGCCUGGGAGUGACUACGGACACUUCAGAGGCUUAGAGAGGUAUUAUAGUUAGCUGGACAAGAGGUACCAUUAUGGAAGAACAUGAGGAUGACCUGUCUCUAAAUGAAUAGUCAUAUCAUAUGUGUGCUGGUUUCCUAGUUGUGCUUAAAAUAAAGCGUCCUAGUAUCUGAAGAGUGUGUUGUAAGAGUUGAUGUUAUACCCACCCUUAAUUUAGAUUGUAUUUUCACUAAGUUUGAUUUUAUCUUGUUUUUAAGAUUGUUUUUGGGUCUUAAUAGGUGUGCCAAGGGGCCCACCUUUGUUUGUUGUCCCCCCGAGUCCAAGCCCUUCAUCUCUCUCUCUCGGUCUCUCUUUCCCUCCCUCACUCUCUCUUCCUUUUUCCUCUUUUUCCCUCGAGGCUCUCUCUCUCUAUUCUCUCCUCUUCCCGUCGAAUACGCACACACACUCAGUCACCAACCACAACCCGUACCACCUGAGCGUGGUGACGUUGAAAUCAGGACCUGAAGGAGUGAUACUCCAACAGUGGCAGUGCCACUGUGCAUCUUCGUCCCUAAACAAACUCCGGCGAGUUUGAUAUGGGAAGAAACACAUCGGGGAGACUUCCCCGGAUUCCUGGGAGGAAUCCGUCACUUUCGAGGCACUUUUUGGCCAAACCAUGGUGAGUUGGCCGGCGUAAAAGUGGUUUCGAGGAGUUUUCUGGCCAAACAACGGUGAGUUAGACGUCAUGUGAGGGGCAAUUAUAGUGGCAUUUCUGUCUUCGCUAGUUGCGUGGCUCUUCGGCGGCGAAGUACUGACGAAGGGAUAGAUUCAGGUCCGUCCUGAGUGACGGUUUGGUGUUGGCAUAUGGCAUGGAGUGUGUUUGCUCUGGCUAUUUAGCACAGGGACGGGGAGCCAGCAUGGGGCCUGAAGUGUAUUUUCCUCUGACUGUCUGCUCAGAGACGGGGAGCCGGCAUGGAGCCUGAGAGUUAUCGGACAAUUCACUAGUGAUUAUUAUAUAUACAAGAUUUAGAAUCGAGGUAUACAAUCCCGACGUCCAGGCAUUUCCGCAUCGGCAUCUUCGAGUCCUCUCGGCAUGGAUACUAUGGAUUCAAGAUAAACCACUAGAACUGAUCGAUAAGACGUUUUGUGAUUCGUGCAACAUAUCUGAAGUGAUAAGGUGUCUUCAUGUGCGGCUGUUAUGUGUGCAAAGAGUACCUGAGGAUAGACCAAGCAUGUCAUCUGUGGUUCUGAUGUUGAGCAGUGAUGUUGCCUUGCCACCUCCAAAGCAGCAUGGUUUCUACACUGAACGAAGUGUCCCUGAAUCACCAUCAAGGACGCUUCUAUGUUCAGAGAAUACUUUCAGCACUACGUUGAUAGAACCUCGGUAGAUCAUCAUUGCGGUGCUUGUUAUUCCUUCAAUCUACCAUCACAAAAUGUUUUUGGUAGGUUGACGUGAAGCUUAUAGCCUUGGCUGGGAAACAAUGAGACCUGCGACUGUAACUCUGCAAGAAAAAUAUUUAUGAUUACCAGUUUAUCAGUUCCUAAAUCAGAACAAAGAAAGGACUUGGGGUUGUUAGGUGGUUGAAGAAAUUUAAGUUAUAGCUAUAGUUGUGUUUAUUAUUUUUUGAUUUUAUUUUAUUAUUUCAUGAUAAGAUAAAAUUUAUUGAGAA